CACGACAUAACACAUACUGUACACAUGUCUAACACAUCAUAUUAACAGAUCAUUGCCCAACAUGCUCUCCAUCAUAGAACAUAUUUACUUUUGUUAUCUUGUUUUCGGAUUUGCUUGCCAUCAAACUAAACCUAUGAUAACCAUACAUUAUUUUAGUCUUCCUCAUUCUCAUUUACAAAAGAUAAUUUUAGCUAAUAAACUUAAGUUACUUUCAACUUCCUAUGGGUUCGAUAUCCUUCUU
RNAcentral lists this long non-coding RNA (241 nucleotides) under Lathyrus oleraceus (garden pea). RNAcentral's name for it is "Pisum sativum (pea) long non-coding RNA (PSAT_LNC037466)". Lineage: Eukaryota; Viridiplantae; Streptophyta; Magnoliopsida; Fabales; Fabaceae. The record is from RNAcentral.